Molecule: long non-coding RNA, 901 nt
Filed under: Equus caballus (horse)
Lineage: Eukaryota; Metazoa; Chordata; Mammalia; Perissodactyla; Equidae
Description: lncRNA (ENSECAG00000059611.1)
Source: RNAcentral
UCUCUUAGGCCUAUUUUACAGAAGGAAAAGCUGAGUGAACACAAAGAAAUUGCUCAGAACCAGACAUGGCUGGGGCUGCCUUGGGGUGGUUUUUGUGCUGAAUCACGGGCCUGACUGCUGCCCCAGAGCAAAGGAGAACCGUCUCCUGUGGUCGGUGGAGUUUCACUGCUUCCUCUUCUGACUUUUUCCACUCGGACUGAUCCUCGUCCUUGCCUGGCCACUUCUGCGUGUCCCACAGAGGCGGAACUUUGGGCCAGGUGGGCCCAGGGGGAGAGACCAGAAGGACAGAACAGCCGCUUAGACGGGCUUUCCAGGUGCACUGCCGUAUUUGGUAUACAAAUAACACCUCACGUCUGUGGUGAUGGGUCCUUAGGAAUAGACAGAGAAAUCGCCUUGGAAUUUGGUGACUUCAGGACAUGGCUUUGUUUUAAAAAAUUCAUUUCCAGACCUCAGCCGACAAUUUUUCCCAGCAAGGUCCCCAGAUUGUGGGGCAAAAUUGAUUUAGCAGUUCAAGUAUCUAGGACUAAGAGAAGUAAGUGAUAUGGGGUUUCUGACCAAUAAGACACCUUAUCAACACCAAAGACCCACAGGAGUGGACGUUAUUGUUGCCAUGGAGCACUAAUGAUGUUGUUUGUCAUAAAAAAGAAUGCAAGCAGCCUGCAAGCAGCAGCAAAGAGAAUGUACGAGAGGCUGAAGAACACAGAACUGCUUCCGGCCAUCUGGUUUCCUUCAGUCCAAAGGCGUAUGGGCGCAGUCCUUUCUAUGCUUGUGUAACCAAGUGGAAAUCCCUAGGGAGUAUCUAAACUCAAGCUUCUGCCACGUAGGGAAGGAACCUGCCAUACUAUGAAUUCCUUAUCCGCAGCCGACUUGACAUUUUUCACAGUGAACACUGUGUUCAGUA